Molecule: long non-coding RNA, 875 nt
Filed under: Homo sapiens (human)
Lineage: Eukaryota; Metazoa; Chordata; Mammalia; Primates; Hominidae
Description: novel transcript
Source: RNAcentral
GGGGUGGUUCCAGGGUAUUUCAGGCCCCAUGGGUGGUGCCACAAGCAUGUGACCUUCAGGGCUCAGAGUUGGAGACAGCAGGCGAGCUGGUUAUGCAGGGGAAAGCGGAGGUGUCUUUCUGAAGACUGUUGCUGACCGUUGAGCCGACAUGGACAACCUGAAAGCCCCUGCUGUGGCACACAGGGCGUCAGAAACUGACCUAAAUCUCGAAGGCUGUGGUUCUCACAUUCGUUGCACAUUAAAAUUACCCGAGGAGCUUUUCAAACAUCUCUGUGCCUGAAUUCCACCCCCAGAGAUUUAUUUAACUGUUGGAGAGGGGAUGGGAAGAGGUUAGACCCUCACCAGAUGACAGUGCCAUGCUUUUGGACUUCCCAACCUCCAGAAAUCAAGGACUAAGAGACACCCCUAAGGAAGAAAAGUAGUAGUAGUGGCUUGGAACCAGGACCCACAAUAUCUCCAAGGAUGCCGGUAUAUCCCACUUCAUUUCAAUGACCCACUUACUGAGUUACAUUCCAUACUACAUUAUCAAUGCCUCCAAGUCAGAGACUAUGUCUUACUUUUGUUUGUAUGUCUAGUUGCUAGAAUAGUUCUGAGUGCACAGUAGGUGAUGAGGUUUAUUUUGAUGUUGAACAAAUAUGUACAACCUGCAAAGAUAUUUUUACUCAGUGCUUUAUCCAUUCAGAUUUUGCCCUCAUGAAUCAAAACUGUAGUUAUAAAUAUAAAUAAAUGUAUAAAUGCAUAUAUAUGUGUGUGCAUACAAUCAGUUGGCCCUCCAUAUCUGUGGAUUCCACAUCCUCUGAUUCAACAAACUGGAUAAAAAGUAUUUUUAAAAAUCAAUAAAAAAUACAAGCUAAUAAAAAAUACAGUAUAACAUC